RNAcentral lists this ribosomal RNA (497 nucleotides) under uncultured bacterium. RNAcentral describes it as "partial 16S ribosomal RNA". It matches the Rfam family "Bacterial small subunit ribosomal RNA", at positions 28 to 507 of the family's 1533-position model. The record is from RNAcentral.
GAUGAACGCUGGCGGCGUGCCUAAUACAUGCAAGUCGAGCGAACGGACGAGAAGCUUGCUUCUCUGAUGUUAGCGGCGGACGGGUGAGUAACACGUGGAUAACCUACCUAGAAGACUGGGAUAAAUUCGGGAAACCGGAGCUAAUACCGGAUAAUAUUUUGAACCGCAUGGUUCAAGAGUGAAAGACGGUCUUGCUGUCACUUAUAGAUGGAUCCGCGCUGCAUUAGCUAGUUGGUAAGGUAACGGCUUACCAAGGCAACGAUGCCUAGCCGAUCUGAGAGGGUGACCGGCCACACUGGAACUGAGACACGGUCCAGACUCCUACGGGAGGCAGCAGUGGGGAAUCUUGCGCAAUGGGCGCAAGCCUGACGGAGCCACGCCGCGUGAGUGAUGAAGGUCUUCGGAUCGUAAAGCACUGUUAUCAGGGAAGAACAUAUGUGUAAUUAUCCGUGCACAUAUUGACGGUACCUACUCAGAAAGCACCGGCUAACUACGUG